UACGGGGGGGGUAAGCGUUGUUCGGAAUUACUGGGCGUAAAGGGCUCGUAGGCGGCCAACUAAGUCAGACGUGAAAUCCCUCAGCUUAACUGGGGAACUGCGUCUGAUACUGGAUGGCUUGGAUUCGGGAGAGGGAUGCGGAAUUCCAGGUGUAGCGGUGAAAUGCGUAGAUAUCUGGAGGAACACCGGUGGCGAAGGCGGCAUCCUGGACCGACAUUGACGCUGAGGAGCGAAAGCCAGGGGAGCAAACGGG
RNAcentral lists this ribosomal RNA (253 nucleotides) under uncultured bacterium. RNAcentral describes it as "partial 16S ribosomal RNA". It matches the Rfam family "Bacterial small subunit ribosomal RNA", at positions 524 to 776 of the family's 1533-position model. The record is from RNAcentral.